This 330-nucleotide unclassified non-coding RNA is filed under the name Nocardia blacklockiae. RNAcentral's name for it is "16S-23S ribosomal RNA intergenic spacer". The record is from RNAcentral. Lineage: Bacteria; Bacillati; Actinomycetota; Actinomycetes; Mycobacteriales; Nocardiaceae.
CUAAGGAGCACUUCUCCGCGACGCUCCACAGAGGUGAAUGUGGUUGUGGCAGAGACCGUUCGAGUCCCCGACUGUGGGACCGCGGAAGCUCAUGGGUGGAACGCUGACAUGUGCCAGGUUUCGGCCUGAGGUAGUCGACACACUGUUGGGUCCUGAAAGAACACGCGAGUGUCUCUUUCGAGGCAAAGUAAUACGAUCCGGAAGGGUCUCCAGUGAUACCGCGGGAAUUGAGUUUCCGUUAGGUCUUGGGACAGGGUUCUUUCGGGUGUGUUGUAUGAGAACUGCACAGUGGACGCGAGCAUCUUUGUUUGUAAGUGUUUAAGGGCGUUC